AGCAGCAUGGCGCAGUUGGAAGCGCGCGGGGCCCAUAUCGUUCAUGUAACCCCGAGGUCACUCGAUCGAAACGAGUUGCUGCUA
Molecule: non-coding RNA, 84 nt
Organism: Mycena rosella
Lineage: Eukaryota; Fungi; Basidiomycota; Agaricomycetes; Agaricales; Mycenaceae
Source: the annotation of a GenBank genome assembly